Molecule: ribosomal RNA, 1538 nt
Filed under: Escherichia coli
Lineage: Bacteria; Pseudomonadati; Pseudomonadota; Gammaproteobacteria; Enterobacterales; Enterobacteriaceae
Description: bacterial SSU rRNA
Rfam family: Bacterial small subunit ribosomal RNA
Source: RNAcentral
CCGAAUUCGUCGACAACAGAGUUUGAUCAUGGCUCAGAUUGAACGCUGGCGGCAGGCCUAACACAUGCAAGUCGAACGGUAACAGAAAGCAGCUUGCUGCUUUGCUGACGAGUGGCGGACGGGUGAGUAAUGUCUGGGAAACUGCCUGAUGGAGGGGGAUAACUACUGGAAACGGUAGCUAAUACCGCAUAACGUCGCAAGACCAAAGAGGGGGACCUUCGGGCCUCUUGCCAUCGGAUGUGCCCAGAUGGGAUUAGCUUGUUGGUGGGGUAACGGCUCACCAAGGCGACGAUCCCUAGCUGGUCUGAGAGGAUGACCAGCCACACUGGAACUGAGACACGGUCCAGACUCCUACGGGAGGCAGCAGUGGGGAAUAUUGCACAAUGGGCGCAAGCCUGAUGCAGCCAUGCCGCGUGUAUGAAGAAGGCCUUCGGGUUGUAAAGUACUUUCAGCGGGGAGGAAGGGAGUAAAGUUAAUACCUUUGCUCAUUGACGUUACCCGCAGAAGAAGCACCGGCUAACUCCGUGCCAGCAGCCGCGGUAAUACGGAGGGUGCAAGCGUUAAUCGGAAUUACUGGGCGUAAAGCGCACGCAGGCGGUUUGUUAAGUCAGAUGUGAAAUCCCCGGGCUCAACCUGGGAACUGCAUCUGAUACUGGCAAGCUUGAGUCUCGUAGAGGGGGGUAGAAUUCCAGGUGUAGCGGUGAAAUGCGUAGAGAUCUGGAGGAAUACCGGUGGCGAAGGCGGCCCCCUGGACGAAGACUGACGCUCAGGUGCGAAAGCGUGGGGAGCAAACAGGAUUAGAUACCCUGGUAGUCCACGCCGUAAACGAUGUCGACUUGGAGGUUGUGCCCUUGAGGCGUGGCUUCCGGAGCUAACGCGUUAAGUCGACCGCCUGGGGAGUACGGCCGCAAGGUUAAAACUCAAAUGAAUUGACGGGGGCCCGCACAAGCGGUGGAGCAUGUGGUUUAAUUCGAUGCAACGCGAAGAACCUUACCUGGUCUUGACAUCCACAGAACUUUCCAGAGAUGGAUUGGUGCCUUCGGGAACUGUGAGACAGGUGCUGCAUGGCUGUCGUCAGCUCGUGUUGUGAAAUGUUGGGUUAAGUCCCGCAACGAGCGCAACCCUUAUCCUUUGUUGCCAGCGGUCCGGCCGGGAACUCAAAGGAGACUGCCAGUGAUAAACUGGAGGAAGGUGGGGAUGACGUCAAGUCAUCAUGGCCCUUACGACCAGGGCUACACACGUGCUACAAUGGCGCAUACAAAGAGAAGCGACCUCGCGAGAGCAAGCGGACCUCAUAAAGUGCGUCGUAGUCCGGAUUGGAGUCUGCAACUCGACUCCAUGAAGUCGGAAUCGCUAGUAAUCGUGGAUCAGAAUGCCACGGUGAAUACGUUCCCGGGCCUUGUACACACCGCCCGUCACACCAUGGGAGUGGGUUGCAAAAGAAGUAGGUAGCUUAACCUUCGGGAGGGCGCUUACCACUUUGUGAUUCAUGACUGGGGUGAAGUCGUAACAAGGUAACCGUAAGCUUGGAUCCCGGG